GCAAGUCGAGCGGUAACAUUCCUAGCUUGCUAGGGGAUGACGAGCGGCGGACGGGUGAGUAAUGCUUGGGGAUCUGCCUAGAGGUGGGGGACAACAGUUGGAAACGACUGCUAAUACCGCAUAAAGUCUACGGACCAAAGGAGGGGCUCUUCGGACCUUUCGCCUUCAGAUGAACCCAAGUGAGAUUAGCUAGUUGGUGAGGUAAUGGCUCACCAAGGCGACGAUCUCUAGCUGGUUUGAGAGGAUGACC
This 250-nucleotide ribosomal RNA is filed under the name uncultured bacterium. RNAcentral describes it as "partial 16S ribosomal RNA". It matches the Rfam family "Bacterial small subunit ribosomal RNA", at positions 57 to 305 of the family's 1533-position model. The record is from RNAcentral.